AUUGCACGCUUGCGGCAGGCCUAACACAUUCACGUCGAACGAGUGGCGGACGGGUGAGUAAUGUCUGGGAAUCUGCCCGAUGGAGGGGGAUAACUACUGGAAACGGUAUCUCAUACCGCAUACCAUCGGAUGUGCCCAGAUGGGAUUAGCUAGUAGGUGGGGUAACGGCUCACCUAGGCGACGAUCCCUAGCUGGUCUUAGAGGAUGACCAGCAACACUGGAAAUGAGACACGGUCCAGACUCCUACGGGAGGCAGCAGUGGGGAAUAUUGCACAAUGGGCGCAAGCCUGAUGAAGCCAUGCCGCGUGUAUGAAGAAGGCCUUCGGGUUGUAAAGUACUUUCAGCGAGGAGGCGUUACUCGCAGAAGAAGCACCGGCUAACUCCGUGCCAGCAGCCGCGGUAAUAC
This 406-nucleotide ribosomal RNA is filed under the name uncultured bacterium. RNAcentral's name for it is "partial 16S ribosomal RNA". It matches the Rfam family "Bacterial small subunit ribosomal RNA", at positions 30 to 526 of the family's 1533-position model. The record is from RNAcentral.